RNAcentral lists this ribosomal RNA (391 nucleotides) under uncultured bacterium. RNAcentral describes it as "bacterial SSU rRNA". It matches the Rfam family "Bacterial small subunit ribosomal RNA", at positions 29 to 421 of the family's 1533-position model. The record is from RNAcentral.
AUUGAACGCUGGCGGAAUGCUUUACACAUGCAAGUCGAGCGGCAGCGCGGGGGCAACCCUGGCGGCGAGCGGCGAACGGGUGAGUAAUAUAUCGGAACGUACCCCGUCGUGGGGGAUAACACAGCGAAAGCUGUGCUAAUACCGCAUACGACCUGAGGGUGAAAGCGGGGGAUCGCAAGACCUCGCGCGAUGGGAGCGGCCGAUAUCGGAUUAGCUUGUUGGUGAGGUAAAGGCUCACCAAGGCGACGAUCCGUAGCUGGUCUGAGAGGACGACCAGCCACACUGGAACUGAGACACGGUCCAGACUCCUACGGGAGGCAGCAGUGGGGAAUUUUGGACAAUGGGGGCAACCCUGAUCCAGCCAUUCCGCGUGAGUGAAGAAGGCCUGUGU